Long non-coding RNA from Leucoraja erinaceus (little skate), 203 nucleotides. RefSeq lists it as uncharacterized. The record is from RefSeq and is a predicted model, not a curated record. NCBI's taxonomy places the organism in Eukaryota, Metazoa, Chordata, Chondrichthyes, Rajiformes, Rajidae. The transcript is spliced from 4 exons.
GGGGCCAAGAGGACUCCUCGGACCCAAGGGACCUCCUGGGCUGCAAGGACCUCCCGGUAUUCGAGGAAUGGAUGGACCACAUGGCCCCAAAGGCAGCCUGGGACCACAGGGAGAACCUGGACCACCAGGCCAGCAAGGUGGCCAUGGAACUCAGGGAACACCUGGACCUCAGGGAGCGAUGGGACCUCCGGGCCACAAGGUAA